GCGUAGCUCAGCGGUAGAGCAGUUGACUGUUAAUCAAUUGGUCGUAGGUUCGAUCCCUAC
This 60-nucleotide transfer RNA is filed under the name uncultured Roseovarius sp. It matches the Rfam family "tRNA", at positions 8 to 63 of the family's 71-position model. From Rfam's summary of the family: Transfer RNA (tRNA) molecules are approximately 80 nucleotides in length. Their secondary structure includes four short double-helical elements and three loops (D, anti-codon, and T loops). Further hydrogen bonds mediate the characteristic L-shaped molecular structure. tRNAs have two regions of fundamental functional importance: the anti-codon, which is responsible for specific mRNA codon recognition, and the 3' end, to which the tRNAs corresponding amino acid is attached (by aminoacyl-tRNA synthetases). tRNAs cope with the degeneracy of the genetic code in two manners: having more than one tRNA (with a specific anti-codon) for a particular amino acid; and 'wobble' base-pairing, i.e. permitting non-standard base-pairing at the 3rd anti-codon position. The record is from RNAcentral. Lineage: Bacteria; Pseudomonadati; Pseudomonadota; Alphaproteobacteria; Rhodobacterales; Roseobacteraceae.